UGCAGGGACUCAGACCAUUCAAAGG
This 25-nucleotide non-coding RNA is filed under the name Mus musculus (house mouse). Lineage: Eukaryota; Metazoa; Chordata; Mammalia; Rodentia; Muridae. The record is from RNAcentral.